This 267-nucleotide ribosomal RNA is filed under the name uncultured bacterium. Its description in RNAcentral is "partial 16S ribosomal RNA". It matches the Rfam family "Bacterial small subunit ribosomal RNA", at positions 793 to 1055 of the family's 1533-position model. The record is from RNAcentral.
GUCCACGCCCUAAACGAUGACGACUAGUUGUUGGAGGAGUUAAAUCCUUUAGUAACGCAGCUAACGCGCGAAGUCGUCCGCCUGGGGAGUACGGUCGCAAGAUUAAAAACUCAAAGGAAUUGACGGGGGCCCGCACAAGCGGUGGAUGAUGUGGUUUAAUUCGAUGCAACGCGAAAAACCUUACCUACCCUUGACAUGCUAGGAACUCUGCAGAGAUGCAGAGGUGCCCGAAAGGGAACCUAGACACAGGUGCUGCAUGGCUGUCGU